ACAAAUCAUUACCACUGCCUGCGAAGUUUCUUGUGAGAAGGGAAUUCCUGAGAGAUUCCAAGAAAACGAAAAACAAAGAGAGAAUCUAGACUGUCAAAUGCAAGGACAUUUUAAAAGAUAAAAUCAAGAUCAAUGGAGAAAGCAAAGGAGGUGAAUGAAAAUUCAAGAGGAACAAUAGUUUCUUUAAAUCCAAAGUUCUUGGAUUUAUCCACAUCUUAAAUUUCUUGUUUUUUUUUCCAGUCACCCUGCUCUUCUGGCCAGUGCCCCACUCGGGCUCUUUGCCAUUGACCAUGUGUUAAGAUGGAAUUUGAAAUGGGAUCUCUCUACAAUAACAACGUCUCAACCUGAAACUUGGAGCUGGGCCUCUUUACACUUAUCCCAGGUGCAGCCCCUUUGA
This 397-nucleotide long non-coding RNA is filed under the name Bos indicus x Bos taurus (hybrid cattle). Its description in RNAcentral is "lncRNA (ENSBIXG00005022092.1)". Lineage: Eukaryota; Metazoa; Chordata; Mammalia; Artiodactyla; Bovidae. The record is from RNAcentral.